AACGAACGCUGGCAGCAGGCUUAACACAUGCAAGCCGAACGCCCCGCAAGGGGAGUGGCAGACGGGUGAGUAACGCGUGAGAACAUACCCUUUUCUACGGAAUAGCUCUGGGAAACUGGAAUUAAUACCGUAUACGCCCUACGGGGGAAAGAUUUAUCGGGGAAGGAUUGGCCCGCGUUGGAUUAGCUGGUUGGUGGGGUAAAGGCCUACCAAGGCGGCGAUCCAUAGCUGGUCUGAGAGGAUGAUCAGCCACAUUGGGACUGAGACACGGCCCAAACUCCUACGGGAGGCAGCAGUGGGGAAUAUUGGACAAUGGGCGCAAGCCUGAUCCAGCCAUGCCGCGUGAGUGAUGAAGGCCUUAGGGUUGUAAAGCUCUUUCACCGAUGAAGAUAAUGACGGUAGUCGGAGAAGAAGCCCCGGCUAACUUCGUGCCAGCCGCCGCGGUAA
Molecule: ribosomal RNA, 447 nt
Filed under: uncultured bacterium
Lineage: Bacteria
Description: partial 16S ribosomal RNA
Rfam family: Bacterial small subunit ribosomal RNA
Source: RNAcentral